AGUGAACGCUGGCGGUAGGCCUAGCACAUGCAAGUCGAACGGCAGCACAGUAAGAGCUUGCUCUUACGGGUGGCGAGUGGCGGACGGGUGAGGAAUACAUCGGAAUCUACUUUUUCGUGGGGGAUAACGUAGGGAAACUUACGCUAAUACCGCAUACGACCUACGGGUGAGAGCAGGGGAUCUUCGGACCUUGCGCGAUUGAAUGAGCCGAUGUCGGAUUAGCUAGUUGGCGGGGUAAAGGCCCACCAAGGCGACGAUCCGUAGCUGGUCUGAGAGGAUGAUCAGCCACACUGGAACUGAGACACGGUCCAGACUCCUACGGGAGGCAGCAGUGGGGAAUAUUGGACAAUGGGCGCAAGCCUGAUCCAGCCAUACCGCGUGGGUGAAGAAGGCCUUCGGGUUGUAAAGCCCUUUUGUUGGGAAAGAAAAGCAGCAGGUUAAUACCCCGCUGUUCUGACGGUACCCAAAGAAUAAGCACCGGCUAACUUCGUG
This 492-nucleotide ribosomal RNA is filed under the name uncultured bacterium. Its description in RNAcentral is "partial 16S ribosomal RNA". It matches the Rfam family "Bacterial small subunit ribosomal RNA", at positions 29 to 507 of the family's 1533-position model. The record is from RNAcentral.